AGGCCUGUGGCUCCUCCCUCAG
This 22-nucleotide microRNA is filed under the name Homo sapiens (human). RNAcentral's name for it is "hsa-miR-6735-3p". Lineage: Eukaryota; Metazoa; Chordata; Mammalia; Primates; Hominidae. The record is from miRBase by way of RNAcentral.